Molecule: ribosomal RNA, 484 nt
Filed under: uncultured bacterium
Lineage: Bacteria
Description: bacterial SSU rRNA
Rfam family: Bacterial small subunit ribosomal RNA
Source: RNAcentral
GACGAACGCUGGCGGCGUGCUUAACACAUGCAAGUCGAACGGUAAGGCUCCUUCGGGAGUACACGAGUGGCGAACGGGUGAGUAACACGUGAGUAACCUGCCCCAGACACUGGGAUAAGCAGAGGAAACUCUGUCUAAUACCGGAUACGACCCGCACCGACAUCGGUAGCGGGUGGAAAGCUCCGGCGGUCUGGGAUGGGCUCGCGGCCCAUCAGCUAGUUGGUGAGGUAACGGCUCACCAAGGCAUCGACGGGUAGCCGGCCUGAGAGGGCGACCGGCCACACUGGGACUGAGAUACGGCCCAGACUCCUACGGGAGGCAGCAGUGGGGAAUAUUGCACAAUGGGCGAAAGCCUGAUGCAGCAACGCCGCGUGCGGGAUGACGGCCUCCGGGUUGUAAACCGCUUUCAGUUCCGACGAAGCGAAAGUGACGGUAGGGACAGAAGAAGCACCGGCCAACUACGUGCCAGCCGCCGCCGUAAUAC